AUUGAACGCUGGCGGCAUGCCUUACACAUGCAAGUCGAACGGUAACGGGCCUUCGGGUGCCGACGAGUGGCGAACGGGUGAGUAAUGCAUCGGAACGUACCCAUCAGUGGGGGAUAACUCUCCGAAAGGAGGGCUAAUACCGCAUAUUCUGUGCGCAGGAAAGCGGGGGACCGCAAGGCCUCGCGCGAUUGGAGCGGCCGAUAUCAGAUUAGGUAGUUGGUGAGGUAAAGGCUCACCAAGCCGACGAUCUGUAGCUGGUCUGAGAGGACGACCAGCCACACUGGGACUGAGACACGGCCCAGACUCCUACGGGAGGCAGCAGUGGGGAAUUUUGGACAAUGGGCGCAAGCCUGAUCCAGCCAUGCCGCGUGCGGGAAGAAGGCCUUCGGGUUGUAAACCGCUUUUGUCAGGGAAGAAAAGGUUCUGGCUAAUACCUGGGACUCAUGACGGUACCUGAAGAAUAAGCACCGGCUAACUACGUGCCAGCAGCCGCCGUAA
Molecule: ribosomal RNA, 498 nt
Filed under: uncultured bacterium
Lineage: Bacteria
Description: partial 16S ribosomal RNA
Rfam family: Bacterial small subunit ribosomal RNA
Source: RNAcentral